UUGCACUUUGGCAGACUGAGUGGCGGACGGGUGAGUAACGCGUGGGUAACCUGCCUUAUACAGGGGGAUAACAUUUGGAAACAGAUGCUAAUACCGCAUAAGAUUACAGUACCGCAUGAUACAGUGAUCAAAGGAGCAAUCCGCUGAAAGAUGGGCUCGCGUCCGAUUAGAUAGUUGGUGAGGUAACGGCUCACCAAGUCGACGAUCGGUAGCCGACCUGAGAGGGUGAUCGGCCACAUUGGGACUGAGACACGGCCCAAACUCC
Molecule: ribosomal RNA, 265 nt
Filed under: uncultured Eubacteriales bacterium
Lineage: Bacteria; Bacillati; Bacillota; Clostridia; Eubacteriales
Description: uncultured Clostridiales bacterium partial 16S ribosomal RNA
Rfam family: Bacterial small subunit ribosomal RNA
Source: RNAcentral